UGGGUCUCAUGCAGUGGGCGGAGCGCGAGCGCCGGGCUGUAACGGCCGGAGAGAGGCAAGAUGCAGUUUAUGCUGCUUUUUAGUCGUCAGGGGAAACUUCGAUUGCAAAAAUGGUAUGUCCCCCUCUCAGACAAAGAGAAGAAAAAAAUUACAAGAGAGCUUGUCCAGACUGUCCUGGCUCGCAAACCCAAGAUGUGCAGCUUUCUGGAGUGGAGAGACCUGAAGAUUGUAUAUAAAAGGUAUGCAAGUCUUUAUUUCUGCUGUGCUAUUGAAGACCAGGACAAUGAACUCAUAACCCUUGAGAUUAUUCAUCGUUAUGUUGAACUCCUAGACAAGUAUUUUGGAAGUGUCUGCGAACUUGACAUUAUCUUCAAUUUUGAGAAGGCUUAUUUUAUCCUGGAUGAGUUCUUGUUAGGAGGGGAGGUGCAGGAAACGUCAAAGAAGAAUGUUCUGAAAGCAAUUGAACAAGCUGAUCUGCUGCAGGAGAACCAAAAUGAAGACUGGGGAAGUUUGUCAGCAGACGAUAUCUUAUGAUUGAGAGAAAUCUUAGGCUAUUGGCCUGUUUUGGCCCCCAUCCAGAUCAUUGGAAGCUGAAACUCCUCGUAGCGUGCUGGAAGAAAUUGGACUCACUUAAAUGUCUCGUUAAACUGAAUGUUCCCACAAAAUUCUGAUCUAGAUUUCACUGCUUUAAUUGUGAUGUAUGGCUACUAUUGCAGGAAACUGUCUCUUGUUUUGUGUUUUGGUUAGCAGAAGUUGAACUUGCAAGCAUUUUUCAUUAUGUUAAGGUAAAAAGGGAAACAAUAUAUUUUUGAAAUCAGUAUUUGAGUUUGGAAUAUUUGGAGGCUUGGCUCAAAUUCAGUGGUUUGACAAAUGAAGACUUUUAAUUAAAUGACUAUUUAAGCAGUGCGGCUACUGGCAAUAUGUGACCUGAGCUGCACAUUAGCGGGUCUAUUUAAAACUUCAACAUUGUUCCUGUUUCAUUGGCUCGAGGAAUUGGACUUAGCUGAUUUUUGUCAGUUUCUGUGAAAUGCCAAGUUUACCCUCCUUUUUUUGCUAAAGUCAAUAUUCAUCUUUGGAUUUGUGAGUGCCACGUGAUUUUGUUCCUCACAUAUUCAAUCUCGUAUAUGCUCAAAAUCAAAAAGUUCAGAAUAUACCAAAGCAACCAGUGUUGACAACUAUUUUUUGUGUUUUGUUAAGCAAUUUAUUUUUAAAAUACAAUUGUCCUGCCUCCAUCUGUGGGCUUGAUCUAGUUUGUAUUUUUAAUAACUUCAGUCUGAUUUGUCUUUAAGGGUCACUUAUAUCAGUUUAGCAUGAGACAAUGUAAGGGAGAGGAGGAAAGGGAUUAUAGUAUACCACUGAACUAAAUCAUGUGAAAUGGAAAUUCAGUUUUCAUUGUGCUGGGAUAACUUUUGAUUAUAGGUCUGUUAGCUGCAGCUGUUAGGUCUGAUAGCCUCACUUCUGUUAUCUGGCAUUACUGCCUCAUCAGAAGUAUAAGGUUUCAGCCAUACUGAUGUUUACGUUUUUUUAAAAAACUAUAUACUGUGUUCAGUACAGAUGCAUAAUUUUGCUAUUCUGAUUAUGUAAAAAAAAGGAAGUAUUUCCAGUUUACAAAACAAGUAACAAGUAGUUUUCAAUGGUGGUGAAUAAUUUAGACUUCUUUUUUCAAAUCAUGUUUGCAUUUUUUUUUUAAACUGAACUUGGUCUUGUGAUGAUUUAUUUGAUGUUUUUCAUUUUCAAACAAACUUGUCCUUCAAGCCAAAUCAAGCUGUUCAACUGGUGUUAAAACAGGUGUCUCAAUUUUUAAUUUUAGUUGACUACUCAGUAGCUUAACUGAUUUGUGUUCUGCAAAAAAAAAUGUAGCAAGUUUUAGCUGUUUAAAUGCUGCUGACUAGCCAGUGCUGGUGUAAAGCUAGGUGGUUGUCCAGUGGUUUAAUGCCUUCAUUUUCCAUGAGUACAGGAGUGAAAGUAUUCCAUCAUCAAUGUACAAGACUGAAAAAUAAAUGUCCACACUAACAUGAAAAGAAAUCUGGUGUCCAUUUAAACUUGGGGACAUCCGCUGAAUUGUGGUUGAAAUAUACUUCACAGUACAUACAGAAAUCACAUUUUACAUUAAACUGGCUCAGUGAUUUUACACUCGGCCUGUGAUGUACAGUUACUGAUGCUAGUUGCAUAGUUUGUAAAUUUUCAGCUAACUACUAAUCUUUGGAGGAAUGGGUUCAAAGACAUUGGCCACUUGCUCAAUUACUUUUAACCCGAGUGAGCACAGACAAGAAUUUUAACACAAAGAAAAUAAAUUGAAUUUAUCAGCAGAAGGUAGACACCCAAAGUGAUGGUUCUGUAUCUGUAGGCCCCCUACUUUGACCAGGUGAUUGUGUCUCAAACUAUUAUUGGAAGAGUAUCACUUUUCAUUAAAAUGUGCAGUAUGGAAUGACUGGAUAUUGUGUAGCUAUAGCUCAUUAGUUAUAAUAGCAGUUGAUGCAUUCUCAGCAUAGAACUGACUGUAAAAAUGUCUACACUCAAAAUGACAAAUUAAAGAAGAAGCACCAUACUUUUUGUUUUCGAAGCAUUUCUAAUCAACCUAUUCAGGCAUGCCCUAAUAUGCCUUUUUGACAAGCGGUAUGUGAAGAUGGAGUCAUAGAGCAUGGAAACAGACCCUUCGGUCCAAACCAGUCCAUGUCGAACAUAAUUCCAAACUAAACUAGUCCCAACUGCCUGCUCCUGGUCCAUGUCUUCAACAAAAUCACACGUGCUUCUCCAAAUGUCUUUCAAACAUUGUAAUUGUACCCACAAUUGUACCACAACUUCCUCAGGAAGUUCAUUCCACAUAUGAACCACUUGCUUUUUAAAAAUAAAUGCUCCUCAUGUCUUUUAUAAAUCUCUCUCCUCUUACCUUAAAAACGUGCCCCCAGUCUUGAAAUCCUCCAUCCUAGGGAAAAGAUAACUACCAUUAACUCUAUCUAUACUCAUUAUUUUAUAAACUUUCUAUAAAGUCAUACCUCAAUUGCCUAAGCUCCAAUGAAAGAAGUCCCAGCCUAUCCAACCUUUCUGUACAACUGUAAGCUUCCAUUAUGGCAAUGUCCUGAUAAAUCUCUUCUGAACCCUCUCCAGCUUAAUAAUAGCCUUCCUGUAACUGGUUUGACCAGAAUGGAAUAAUAUUCCAGAAGAGGCCUCACCAAUGUCCAGUACAACUUCAACAUGAUUCCCCAAUUCCUAUACUGAAAGGACUGAGCAAUGAAGACAAGCAUGCCAAGUGCAUUUUUAAUCACCUUGUCUCUAUAUGUGACACAGCCUCCAAAGAAUUAUGUACCUGAACCCCUAGGCCCAUCUGUUCUCAUAACGGUAUCAUUAAUUGUGCAAACCCUACUCUAUUGUAUGAAAGUGCAAGAGCUCUCAUUUAUCUAGAUUGAGCUCCCAUCUGCCAUUUUUCAGCCCAUCUGAGAAAACCUUCACUGUCCACUAUGCCAAUUUUGGUGUCAUCUACAAGCUUACUAACCAUGCCUUCUGUACUCUCAUCCAAAUACUUUAUGUAAAUGACAAACAGAAGAGGACCAUCCCUGUGACAGGCCUCUAGGCCGGAGUUCAAAGCUCUGUAACCUACGUGCAACCACUUAAGAAAAACCUUGCACGAAGUCCAUCGUCCUCUGCCCUAUGUCAUCUGCUUAGGUUUAAAUGUACUGCUACUACCACUCAACAUCUGCCCUUGCACAGCAAAAAUUUGGGGGAACAUUAGUGGAGACACUAUAAUCACCACAAUUUGCUUUGUGUUGCUACAGUGAUCUGUUCACUUCUUGGAUAACUUACACCAUUCAUGGAGAGUUUCUGUGCCCCAGUUGGGUUUGCUGACGACCUUUGAGCACCUUAGCAAAGACAGGAGAUGUCAGAUUUUCCAAUGGUGUCUGGGCUCCAAGCCGGUGAUUGUCCAGUCUCUGGGGCAGCCAUUUUCCAAACCACAAUGUACAAGUGGCAAAGAUUUUUUUUCCCACUGGAGGAUUAUGUGGCUCACUGAUUUCAAAGGUAAGGGGAUAAACUAGGGGGCUUAUAGAUAGGUUACAACAUCUGUCAUCUGCUCAAUUAUAGACUCCAGUAAAUUGCUUUGGGUUACUGAACAUAAUUGGAAUGUUUGUUGAUCAAGUCAGUGUGGAUUUGUAAUAGGUAGGCAUAUGUAAUAGAAACACUUAAAAGAACUGAUGAAAGUAGACAAUGGAGGAAUAUGUGGGGCCGGAAGCUAAGAACAUAGAGCAGUACAGGCCCUUUGGCUAUUGAUGAUGUGCCAACCUUUAGCCUACUCUAAGAUCAAACUAACCUACAUACCGUAUAUUUUACUAUCAUCCAUGUGCCUAUACAAGAGUCUCUUUCUUGUCCCUAAUGUGUCUGACUCUACUGUCAUGACUGGCAGUGCAUUCCACACACCACCUAUUUCUGACAUCUCCCUAAACCUUCCUCCAAUCAUCUUAAAUUAUGCCCCCUCAUAAUAGCCAUAUCUGCCUUGGGAAAAAUGUCUCUGGCUAUCCACACUGUUGCCUCUCAUCAUCUUGUACACCUCUAUCAAGUCACCUCUCAUCCUCAUUCGCUCCAAUGAGAAAACCCCUAGAUCCCUCAACCUUCAUAAGACAUGCCCUCCAGUCCAGGCAGCAUCCUGGUAAAUCUCCUCUGCACCCUCUCUAAAGCUUCCACGACCUUCCUACAAUGAAGUGACCAAUAUUCCAAUUGUGGUCUAACCAGAGCUUUAUAGAAUUGCAUCAUAACCUCACAGCUCUUAAACUCAACCCCCUGCUAAUGAAAGCCAACACAAUACACCUUCUUCACAAUUAACAACCCUAUCAACUUGGGUAAUUUUUGAGGGAUUGAGGGACGUGUUCCUCCACACUGCCAAGAAUGCUGCUUUUAACUCUGUAAUCUGCAUUCAAAUCAACCUUACAAAAUGAAUCACUUCAGUUUUCCAGGUUGAACUCCACCUGCCACCUCACAUCCCAGCUCUGCAUCCUGUCAGUGUCCCAUUACAACUGACAACAGCCCUCCACACUAUCCACAACUCCUCCAACUUUCAUGUAAUUGGCACACUUAGUAACCCACCCUUCCACCUACUCAUCCAAGUAAUUUGCCUACCACCACUGUAAAACAGACUGGAAUUUCAAGGGUUAUCCCCUAUUCCCUUUCUUGAACAAGAGAUUGCCACCCUCUAAUUCGCUGGUACUAGUGGACAGUGAAGAUGCAAAGAUCUUCACCAAAGGCGCAGCAACCUCUUCCCGUAUAUCCUGUAUGGCCCAGGAGACUUUUCUGUCUUAAUGUUUUUCAAAAUUCACACAAUCCUCACAAACAAUAGGUCCUCUCACUAGUGAAUAUGAAGCAUAGUAUUCAUUAAUGACCUCUCACAUCUCCUCUGACUUCAAGCACAAGUUCUCUCCACUAUCCCUGAUCGGCUAUACUCUCACUCUGGUGCAUGGUGGCCCAGUGGUUAGUACUGGUGCCUCACAGCACAAGGGACCCAGGUUCAAUUCCACCCUCAGGCAAUAGUGUGGAGUUUGCAUAUUGUCCCUAUGCAUGUGCAGGUUUUGUCCCACAGUCCAAAAAUGUGUAUAUUAAGUAUAUUGGCUAUGCUAAAUCACGCAUUGUGUCCAGGCAUGUGCAGAGUCUGGGUGGGAUACUGUUUGGAUAGUUGGUGUGGACUUGAUGGGCUGAAUGUCCUGCUUCCACAAGGUAGGAAUUCUGUGUUUAAAAAAAAUGUAGUAGAAUGCAUUUCACUUUUCCAUGAGUUCAACUCUGAUGUUCAAGAAGUUCAGCCUUGCUUAGCACAAAGCCAUCAGUCUUGAAGAUUCACACCACCUCAUGAAAUGUGCCAUCUACAAAAUGUCUCACUGGUUAUGAAAAACAAAGAAGAGUGCAGAGGCUGGGCUUCAAGCAGCACCAGAUGUAUCUGAAAACAUUGUGGUAAAAGCACAACAUACUGCUUCUACUGUUUGACACACAAGUCAUCAAAGAUAUGUACUACUGCCAAUGGAUCAGAUUGAAACUCUGCAAUAUUGUCACAUUCAGCCAUGAAUGGUCUGGUUGCACGCCAAAGCUUGUUAACAGCACUUUCCAAACCUUUGUCUAUCACUAAAUAAAUGGCAGCAGAUACAUGAGACCAUCACCACCUAUUGAUCUGACUUGCUCUUGUAGCUACUAUAAGUAGUCCAGUUUCAAUGCAAUGGUAACCCCCAGGAUGUUGGCAAUGGGGGAAUUCAGCAAUGUUAAUAUAAUUAAAUGGGAUGAUGGUUAGGUUCUGUUUUACUGGAGACCGUCAUUGACUGGCAUAUGUGUGGCACAAUAUUACUUCCC
This is an RNA transcript of Hemiscyllium ocellatum (epaulette shark), 6318 nucleotides long. It is a transcript of the gene named adaptor related protein complex 1 subunit sigma 2, with no coding region annotated. Lineage: Eukaryota; Metazoa; Chordata; Chondrichthyes; Orectolobiformes; Hemiscylliidae. The transcript is spliced from 6 exons. The record is from RefSeq and is a predicted model, not a curated record.